CCGCGGUGAUACGGAGGGUGCGAGCGUUAUCCGGAAUUACUGGGUUUAAAGGGUGCGUAGGCGGCUAGAUAAGUCAGGAGUGAAAGCUCGAGGCUCAACUUCGGAAUUGCUUUUGAUACUGUUUAGCUUGAAUUAGGAUGAGGUUAGCGGAAUGUGGCAUGUAGCGGUGAAAUGCAUAGAUAUGCCAUAGAACACCAAUUGCGAAGGCAGCUAACUGGAUCUAUAUUGACGCUGAGGCACGAAAGCGUGGGGAGCGAACAGGACUAGAUACCCUGGUAGUCCACGCCCUAAACGAUGCUAACUCGAUGUUUGGACUUUAGUUUGAGCAUCCAAGGGAAACCGUUAAGUUAGCCACCUGGGGAGUACGUCGGGCAACGAUGAAACUCAAAGGAAUUGACGGGGGUCCGCACAAGCGGUGGGAGCAUGUGGUUUAAUUCGAUGAUACGCGAGGAACCUUACCUGGGCUCGAACGCUAUUUGCCUUACCCUGAAAGGGGUAAUUCUUUCGAGACGGAUAGUGAGGUGCUGCAUGGUUGUCGUCAGCUCGUGCCGUGAGGUGUUGGGUUAAGUCCCGCAACGAGCGCAACCCUUAUCUCUAGUUGCCAGCAAGUAAAGUUGGGGACUCUAGAGAGACUGCCGGCGCAAGCCGUGAGGAAGGUGGGGAUGACGUCAAAUCAUCAUGGCCUUUAUGCCCAGGGCGACACACGUGCUACAAUGGUCGGUACAGAGGGUAGCGAAGCAGAGAUGUGGAGCCAAUCCCAGAAAGCCGAUCCCAGUUCGGAUUGGAGUCUGGAACUCGACUUCAUGAAGGUGGAAUCGCUAGUAAUCGCGCAUCAGCCAUGGCGCGGUGAAUACGUUCCCGGACCUUGUACACACCGCCCGUCAAGCCAUGGGAGCCGGGGGUACCUGAAGAUGGUGACUUUACGGGGAGCUAUCUAAGGUAAAACUGGUAACUGGGGUGAAGUCGUAACAAGG
RNAcentral lists this ribosomal RNA (974 nucleotides) under uncultured bacterium. Its description in RNAcentral is "bacterial SSU rRNA". It matches the Rfam family "Bacterial small subunit ribosomal RNA", at positions 515 to 1496 of the family's 1533-position model. The record is from RNAcentral.